RNAcentral lists this small RNA (29 nucleotides) under Bombyx mori (domestic silkworm). RNAcentral's name for it is "ovarian small RNA-8543". The record is from RNAcentral. Lineage: Eukaryota; Metazoa; Arthropoda; Insecta; Lepidoptera; Bombycidae.
UGCCAUCAUCUAACUUUGAUUGUGAGAUC